UAUCCAUUUUAUACUCAUUGG
Molecule: non-coding RNA, 21 nt
Filed under: Caenorhabditis elegans
Lineage: Eukaryota; Metazoa; Nematoda; Chromadorea; Rhabditida; Rhabditidae
Source: RNAcentral